Molecule: ribosomal RNA, 557 nt
Filed under: uncultured bacterium
Lineage: Bacteria
Description: partial 16S ribosomal RNA
Rfam family: Bacterial small subunit ribosomal RNA
Source: RNAcentral
UGGGGAAUAUUGCACAAUGGGCGCAAGCCUGAUGCAGCCAUGCCGCGUGUGUGAAGAAGGCCUUCGGGUUGUAAAGCACUUUCAGCGAGGAGGAAGGUGGUGAGCUUAAUACGCUCAUCAAUUGACGUUACUCGCAGAAGAAGCACCGGCUAACUCCGUGCCAGCAGCCGCGGUAAUACGGAGGGUGCAAGCGUUAAUCGGAAUUACUGGGCGUAAAGCGCACGCAGGCGGUUUGUUAAGUCAGAUGUGAAAUCCCCGGGCUCAACCUGGGAACUGCAUUUGAAACUGGCAAGCUAGAGUCUCGUAGAGGGGGGUAGAAUUCCAGGUGUAGCGGUGAAAUGCGUAGAGAUCUGGAGGAAUACCGGUGGCGAAGGCGGCCCCCCUGGACGAAGACUGACGCUCAGGUGCGAAAGCGUGGGGCAGCAAACAGGAUUAGAUACCCUGGUAGUCCACGCUGUAAACGAUGUCGACUUUGGAGGUUGUGCCCUUGAGGCGUGGCUUCCGGAGCUAACGCGUUAAAUCGACCGCCNGGGGAGUACGGCCGCAAGGUUAAAACU